This 429-nucleotide ribosomal RNA is filed under the name bacterium. Its description in RNAcentral is "partial 16S ribosomal RNA". It matches the Rfam family "Bacterial small subunit ribosomal RNA", at positions 355 to 776 of the family's 1533-position model. The record is from RNAcentral.
UGGGGAAUAUUGGACAAUGGGCGCAAGCCUGAUCCAGCCAUACCGCGUGGGUGAAGAAGGCCUUCGGGUUGUAAAGCCCUUUUGUUGGGAAAGAAAUCCUGUCGAUUAAUACUCGGUGGGGAUGACGGUACCCAAAGAAUAAGCACCGGCUAACUUCGUGCCAGCAGCCGCGGUAAUACGAAGGGUGCAAGCGUUACUCGGAAUUACUGGGCGUAAAGCGUGCGUAGGUGGUGGUUUAAGUCUGCUGUGAAAGCCCUGGGCUCAACCUGGGAAUUGCAGUGGAUACUGGGUCACUAGAGUGUGGUAGAGGGAUGCGGAAUUUCUGGUGUAGCAGUGAAAUGCGUAGAGAUCAGAAGGAACAUCCGUGGUGAAGGCGGCAUCCUGGGCCAACACUGACACUGAGGCACGAAAGCGUGGGGAGCAAACAGG